UUUUAGAAUAUUAAAUGUCCAACUAAAAUAAUGUCCGCCACUUUCUUAAAAUACUCUUAAAAUCAUGGUUUAAUCUAUAAACCAAAAUAAGGGCAUAUUAGACUUUUUUUUUCUUUGGCAUUAGUCCCAAACUUACCAUUUUAGGGAAAUUUCUCUAAUAGAACGUCAAAAUAGGAAACUUGCUCUAUAUAAAUAGAGUAAAAGGAGUAAUUUACUAAUUAUUUAUUUUUUCCAAAUUCAAUUACUUGCUAAUCCUAAACAUUUGCACAUAAAAAUAUAAAUUAUAUUUGGAUAAUAUUUAUUUUUUGAAUUGUUAUAUUUCUAAUUUUGACAAAAUUAGAGCAAUCGUCAAGUAUAAUUCAAAGAUACAAUAAAUAAAGCUGAAAUUUCAUAUUUAUAAGAGCAAUUACUGAUAGUCAAUAUAUAUGACAAUCUUUUACGAGUGCCUGCCCAAAGAGAAGACAACGGUAAACCAUUACAAAUAAACAAUUUGAUACCGAGUAUUUACCUCGUACCCAAAGCAUUUAUGGGGAGAAGGAGCCACAAAUCUUGAAAUAACACACCAUUGCAAUUAAAUGAUUUGAUAUCGAGUAUUUACCUCAUACCUAAAGCAUUUAUGGAGAGGAAGAGCCAUGGAUCUUGAGAUAACAUUAGUCUUAUAUCCAAAAGGAUUUAGUUAUUGAAAAAUAUAUAUAAAAUAUAAUAAACUUAUUCAUUUAAUCUUUUUACCACCAUCUCUGCUAGCACUAUCAUAUGCUUGCUCCUUUCUGGCCUUUGCCAUAAUGACCCUUUGCAUAGCUUCCACAAACUUUGUCACUUGAUGUGUAUUCAUAUUUUCAUGUUCUUUGUCACAUAUUCUUCCGGUCUGACUCCAAUGGCCGGUUUCUGCCUCCGAAAACAACUCGUCUUGCCGGAGUCGGCACUUAUGAAGCUUCACAUACUUCAUUGGAGGAUUCUUUAAUUUGCUUGAUUAAUUUCUAGUUCUAUGAUCUUUCUUAUUAAGACAUAAAGCUAUAUAUAUAUGUGGAUGUAGG
RNAcentral lists this long non-coding RNA (1034 nucleotides) under Jatropha curcas. Its description in RNAcentral is "long non-coding RNA (JCUR_LNC000601)". Lineage: Eukaryota; Viridiplantae; Streptophyta; Magnoliopsida; Malpighiales; Euphorbiaceae. The record is from RNAcentral.